This 734-nucleotide ribosomal RNA is filed under the name uncultured bacterium. Its description in RNAcentral is "bacterial SSU rRNA". It matches the Rfam family "Bacterial small subunit ribosomal RNA", at positions 66 to 795 of the family's 1533-position model. The record is from RNAcentral.
AGGAGAAAAGGGUAGCAAUAUCUGAGUAAACUGGCGAACGGGUGAGUAACACGUAGGUAAUCUACCUGUAAACGGGGAUAACCCCGCGAAAGCGGGACUAAUACCCGAUGCAGUCUUGUUGUGGCAUCAUGAUAAGAUGAAAGGUCCCAAAAGGACGUUACAAGAUGAACCUGCGUCCCAUUAGAUAGUUGGCGGGGUAAUGGCCCACCAAGUCGACGAUGGGUAGCUGGUCUGAGAGGACGGCCAGCCACACUGGAACUGAGACACGGUCCAGACUUCUACGGAAGGCAGCAGUGAGGAAUAUUGCUCAAUGGGCGCAAGCCUGAAGCAGCGACGCCGCGUGAGGGAUGAAAUCCGUUAGGAUGUAAACCUCUUUUGCAGGGGAUGAAUGUCUCCCUUUGGGAGAAGUGACUGUACCCUGCGAAUAAGCACCGGCCAACUACGUGCCAGCAGCCGCGGUAAUACGUAGGGUGCAAGCGUUGUCCGGAAUCACUGGGUGUAAAGGGUCUGUAGGCGGGCAAGUAAGUCGGUGGUGAAAUCCUAUGGCUCAACCAUAGAACUGCCUCCGAAACUACUUGUCUUGAGUUCGAGAGAGGAUGAUGGAAUUCAUGGUGUAGCGGUGAAAUGCGUAGAUAUCAUGAAGAACACCAGUAGCGGAGGCGGUCAUCUGGCUCGAUACUGACGCUGAGGGACGAAAGCGUGGGUAGCAAACAGGAUUAGAUACCCUGGUAGUC